Molecule: ribosomal RNA, 302 nt
Filed under: uncultured bacterium
Lineage: Bacteria
Description: partial 16S ribosomal RNA
Rfam family: Bacterial small subunit ribosomal RNA
Source: RNAcentral
GCAGCCGCCGCGGUAAUACGGAGGGGGCUAGCGUUGUUCGGAAUUACUGGGCGUAAAGCGCACGUAGGCGGCUUGGUAAGUUAGAGGUGAAAGCCUGGAGCUCAACUCCAGAAUUGCCUUUAAGACUGCCGAGCUAGCAGGUGAGAGAGGUAAGUGGAAUUCCGAGUGUAGAGGUGAAAUUCGUAGAUAUUGGGAAGAACACCGGUGGCGAAGGCGGCAACCUGGUCCAUUACUGACGCUGAGGCGCGACAGCGUGGGGAGCAAACAGGAUUAGAUACCCCCGUAGUCCCUGUCUCUUAUAC